RNAcentral lists this ribosomal RNA (253 nucleotides) under uncultured bacterium. RNAcentral describes it as "partial 16S ribosomal RNA". It matches the Rfam family "Bacterial small subunit ribosomal RNA", at positions 524 to 776 of the family's 1533-position model. The record is from RNAcentral.
UACAGAGGGUGCAAGCGUUAAUCGGAAUUACUGGGCGUAAAGGGUGCGUAGGUGGGUAAAUAAGUUGGACGUGAAAGCCCCGGGCUCAACCUGGGAUGGUCGUCCAAUACUGUUUGCCUAGAGUAUGGUAGAGGGUAGUAGAAUUUCCGGUGUAGCGGUGAAAUGCGUAGAUAUCGGAAGGAAUAUCAAUGGCGAAGGCAGCUACCUGGGCCAAUACUGACACUGAGGCACGAAAGCAUGGGGAGCAAACAGG